UAUCCUAGAUUGCUUUCAAGGUCAUUUCUUUAGAGAACCCCAUUCCCAUAAAUUCAGUAUCCAAAGCUGGUUGCUGUAUCUAUGGGAAUAAGGGUUCCCUAACGAAUUGAUCUUGGACGCAAUCUAGGAGU
RNAcentral lists this microRNA precursor (131 nucleotides) under Oryza sativa Indica Group (long-grained rice). Its description in RNAcentral is "MIR1882 microRNA precursor family". It matches the Rfam family "MIR1882 microRNA precursor family". The record is from Rfam by way of RNAcentral. Lineage: Eukaryota; Viridiplantae; Streptophyta; Magnoliopsida; Poales; Poaceae.